This 2904-nucleotide ribosomal RNA is filed under the name Escherichia coli. RNAcentral describes it as "23S ribosomal RNA". It matches the Rfam family "Bacterial large subunit ribosomal RNA". The record is from RNAcentral. Lineage: Bacteria; Pseudomonadati; Pseudomonadota; Gammaproteobacteria; Enterobacterales; Enterobacteriaceae.
GGUUAAGCGACUAAGCGUACACGGUGGAUGCCCUGGCAGUCAGAGGCGAUGAAGGACGUGCUAAUCUGCGAUAAGCGUCGGUAAGGUGAUAUGAACCGUUAUAACCGGCGAUUUCCGAAUGGGGAAACCCAGUGUGUUUCGACACACUAUCAUUAACUGAAUCCAUAGGUUAAUGAGGCGAACCGGGGGAACUGAAACAUCUAAGUACCCCGAGGAAAAGAAAUCAACCGAGAUUCCCCCAGUAGCGGCGAGCGAACGGGGAGGAGCCCAGAGCCUGAAUCAGUGUGUGUGUUAGUGGAAGCGUCUGGAAAGGCGCGCGAUACAGGGUGACAGCCCCGUACACAAAAAUGCACAUACUGUGAGCUCGAUGAGUAGGGCGGGACACGUGGUAUCCUGUCUGAAUAUGGGGGGACCAUCCUCCAAGGCUAAAUACUCCUGACUGACCGAUAGUGAACCAGUACCGUGAGGGAAAGGCGAAAAGAACCCCGGCGAGGGGAGUGAAAAAGAACCUGAAACCGUGUACGUACAAGCAGUGGGAGCACGCUUAGGCGUGUGACUGCGUACCUUUUGUAUAAUGGGUCAGCGACUUAUAUUCUGUAGCAAGGUUAACCGAAUAGGGGAGCCGAAGGGAAACCGAGUCUUAACUGGGCGUUAAGUUGCAGGGUAUAGACCCGAAACCCGGUGAUCUAGCCAUGGGCAGGUUGAAGGUUGGGUAACACUAACUGGAGGACCGAACCGACUAAUGUUGAAAAAUUAGCGGAUGACUUGUGGCUGGGGGUGAAAGGCCAAUCAAACCGGGAGAUAGCUGGUUCUCCCCGAAAGCUAUUUAGGUAGCGCCUCGUGAAUUCAUCUCCGGGGGUAGAGCACUGUUUCGGCAAGGGGGUCAUCCCGACUUACCAACCCGAUGCAAACUGCGAAUACCGGAGAAUGUUAUCACGGGAGACACACGGCGGGUGCUAACGUCCGUCGUGAAGAGGGAAACAACCCAGACCGCCAGCUAAGGUCCCAAAGUCAUGGUUAAGUGGGAAACGAUGUGGGAAGGCCCAGACAGCCAGGAUGUUGGCUUAGAAGCAGCCAUCAUUUAAAGAAAGCGUAAUAGCUCACUGGUCGAGUCGGCCUGCGCGGAAGAUGUAACGGGGCUAAACCAUGCACCGAAGCUGCGGCAGCGACGCUGAUGCGUUGUUGGGUAGGGGAGCGUUCUGUAAGCCUGCGAAGGUGUGCUGUGAGGCAUGCUGGAGGUAUCAGAAGUGCGAAUGCUGACAUAAGUAACGAUAAAGCGGGUGAAAAGCCCGCUCGCCGGAAGACCAAGGGUUCCUGUCCAACGUUAAUCGGGGCAGGGUGAGUCGACCCCUAAGGCGAGGCCGAAAGGCGUAGUCGAUGGGAAACAGGUUAAUAUUCCUGUACUUGGUGUUACUGCGAAGGGGGGACGGAGAAGGCUAUGUUGGCCGGGCGACGGUUGUCCCGGUUUAAGCGUGUAGGCUGGUUUUCCAGGCAAAUCCGGAAAAUCAAGGCUGAGGCGUGAUGACGAGGCACUACGGUGCUGAAGCAACAAAUGCCCUGCUUCCAGGAAAAGCCUCUAAGCAUCAGGUAACAUCAAAUCGUACCCCAAACCGACACAGGUGGUCAGGUAGAGAAUACCAAGGCGCUUGAGAGAACUCGGGUGAAGGAACUAGGCAAAAUGGUGCCGUAACUUCGGGAGAAGGCACGCUGAUAUGUAGGUGAAGCGACUUGCUCGUGGAGCUGAAAUCAGUCGAAGAUACCAGCUGGCUGCAACUGUUUAUUAAAAACACAGCACUGUGCAAACACGAAAGUGGACGUAUACGGUGUGACGCCUGCCCGGUGCCGGAAGGUUAAUUGAUGGGGUUAGCGCAAGCGAAGCUCUUGAUCGAAGCCCCGGUAAACGGCGGCCGUAACUAUAACGGUCCUAAGGUAGCGAAAUUCCUUGUCGGGUAAGUUCCGACCUGCACGAAUGGCGUAAUGAUGGCCAGGCUGUCUCCACCCGAGACUCAGUGAAAUUGAACUCGCUGUGAAGAUGCAGUGUACCCGCGGCAAGACGGAAAGACCCCGUGAACCUUUACUAUAGCUUGACACUGAACAUUGAGCCUUGAUGUGUAGGAUAGGUGGGAGGCUUUGAAGUGUGGACGCCAGUCUGCAUGGAGCCGACCUUGAAAUACCACCCUUUAAUGUUUGAUGUUCUAACGUUGACCCGUGAUCCGGGUUGCGGACAGUGUCUGGUGGGUAGUUUGACUGGGGCGGUCUCCUCCUAAAGAGUAACGGAGGAGCACGAAGGUUGGCUAAUCCUGGUCGGACAUCAGGAGGUUAGUGCAAUGGCAUAAGCCAGCUUGACUGCGAGCGUGACGGCGCGAGCAGGUGCGAAAGCAGGUCAUAGUGAUCCGGUGGUUCUGAAUGGAAGGGCCAUCGCUCAACGGAUAAAAGGUACUCCGGGGAUAACAGGCUGAUACCGCCCAAGAGUUCAUAUCGACGGCGGUGUUUGGCACCUCGAUGUCGGCUCAUCACAUCCUGGGGCUGAAGUAGGUCCCAAGGGUAUGGCUGUUCGCCAUUUAAAGUGGUACGCGAGCUGGGUUUAGAACGUCGUGAGACAGUUCGGUCCCUAUCUGCCGUGGGCGCUGGAGAAUUGAGGGGGGCUGCUCCUAGUACGAGAGGACCGGAGUGGACGCAUCACUGGUGUUCGGGUUGUCAUGCCAAUGGCACUGCCCGGUAGCUAAAUGCGGAAGAGAUAAGUGCUGAAAGCAUCUAAGCACGAAACUUGCCCCGAGAUGAGUUCUCCCUGACUCCUUGAGAGUCCUGAAGGAACGUUGAAGACGACGACGUUGAUAGGCCGGGUGUGUAAGCGCAGCGAUGCGUUGAGCUAACCGGUACUAAUGAACCGUGAGGCUUAACCUU